UACGUAGGUCGCAAGCGUUGUCCGGAUUUACUGGGCGUAAAGAGCGCGCAGGCGGCUGGUCAAGUCCGAUGUGAAAUCUCCCGGCUCAACUGGGAAACUGCAUCGGAAACUGAUCGGCUUGAAGAUGGGAGAGGGUAGUGGAAUUCCCGGUGUAGUGGUGAAAUGCGUAGAUAUCGGGAGGAACACCAGUGGCGAAGGCAGCUCGCUGGGACGUUACUGACGCUGAGACGCGAAAGCGUGGGGAGCAAACAGG
RNAcentral lists this ribosomal RNA (253 nucleotides) under uncultured bacterium. Its description in RNAcentral is "partial 16S ribosomal RNA". It matches the Rfam family "Bacterial small subunit ribosomal RNA", at positions 524 to 776 of the family's 1533-position model. The record is from RNAcentral.